This 375-nucleotide ribosomal RNA is filed under the name uncultured bacterium. Its description in RNAcentral is "bacterial SSU rRNA". It matches the Rfam family "Bacterial small subunit ribosomal RNA", at positions 29 to 396 of the family's 1533-position model. The record is from RNAcentral.
AACGAACGCUGGCGGCGUGCUUAACACAUGCAAGUCGAACGUGAAAGGCUUCGGCCGAGUAAAGUGGCGCACGGGUGAGUAACGCGUGGGUAAUCUGCCCUUGGGCGGGGGAUAACCUCUCGAAAGGGGGGCUAAUACCGCAUGAGACCACGGCUUUUCGGGGCUGUGGGAAAAGGUGGGUCGCAAGGCCUGCCACCUGAGGAUGAGCCCGCGUACCAUUAGGUUGUUGGUGGGGUAAUGGCCUACCAAGCCGAAGAUGGUUAGCUGGUCUGAGAGGACGAUCAGCCACACUGGGACUGAGACACGGCCCAGACUCCUACGGGAGGCAGCAGUGGGGAAUAUUGCGCAAUGGGGGAAACCCCUGACGCAGCAACG